This 309-nucleotide long non-coding RNA is filed under the name Elaeis guineensis (African oil palm). RNAcentral's name for it is "long non-coding RNA (EGUI_LNC041007)". The record is from RNAcentral. Lineage: Eukaryota; Viridiplantae; Streptophyta; Magnoliopsida; Arecales; Arecaceae.
CUUCCUUUAGAGUUUGAGGCUUCAUCAACAUGUAAUAUCUAGUAAAGAUCUUUAAUGAUCUCUUUUGGGCUUUCUAAGGCUAGUUUUUCAUCAAGAAUGGUAUACUUCAUAAUAAAAUCAACUAAUAUUUGAGCCUUUAGUAAAGAUCGAGAUCGAUAAUGGAUGUUGAACUUACUAAGUUCAAUAGUCCACUUGGCUAUCUGACCUAAAUUAUCAAAUCAUUGUAGGAUUGAUUUCAGAGGUUGAUUAGUUAAUAUGAUAAUUGAGUGGGCUUGAAAAUGAGAUCGAAGUCGUCGGGCCGAUGCAAUA